RNAcentral lists this ribosomal RNA (252 nucleotides) under uncultured bacterium. Its description in RNAcentral is "partial 16S ribosomal RNA". It matches the Rfam family "Bacterial small subunit ribosomal RNA", at positions 524 to 776 of the family's 1533-position model. The record is from RNAcentral.
UACGUAGGGUGCAAGCGUUGUCCGGAAUUAUUGGCGUAAAGAGCUCGUAGGCGGUCUGUCGCGUCGGCUGUGAAAACUCGGGGCUCAACUCCGAGCCUGCAGUCGAUACGGGCAGACUAGAGUGCUGUAGGGGAGACUGGAAUUCCUGGUGUAGCGGUGAAAUGCGCAGAUAUCAGGAGGAACGCCAAUAGCGAAGGCAGCUCGCUGGGACGGUAUUGACGCUAAGGCGCGAAAGCGUGGGGAGCAAACAGG